Molecule: long non-coding RNA, 218 nt
Filed under: Elaeis guineensis (African oil palm)
Lineage: Eukaryota; Viridiplantae; Streptophyta; Magnoliopsida; Arecales; Arecaceae
Description: long non-coding RNA (EGUI_LNC003765)
Source: RNAcentral
CCCGUGGAGACGAGUAUUUUGGCUGAUCAACGUAUUUGAUUGUGUUCUUAUUUUAUUUCUUCUUUCUUCUUGCUGCAACGAGUGAUAUCGAAUACUGUCUAAGAGUGCUAAUUGUGCAUAGCCAAUGCAAUAAAUAUUUCAAAGAUUAGAAUUAUUUCAAUAUUGAAUUAAUCAUAAGCUUCAUAAUUAAAUUAAAUUUUUUUCUUUCAAACCACCAA